Non-coding RNA from Schistosoma mansoni, 78 nucleotides. NCBI's taxonomy places the organism in Eukaryota, Metazoa, Platyhelminthes, Trematoda, Strigeidida, Schistosomatidae. The record is from Rfam.
AGUUUUCUGAAUAUGUGAAGAGAUUUCGUCAGACACCAACCCAUUAGGGCUGGUUAGACUUCAAAAAUAAGUGAAGUU